AGACAACAAAAUGUUAAAUAUUAAUUUUGUCACCUUAGGUCGAUCGGUAUCUCACAUUCUUAAUUUAUUUAAGGAUUUUAUUUCCUAAGUUUUUUCUAGGUCACACCCAUUUUUUUCCCUGGGCCAUUAGCUCAGGUGGUUAGAGCGCACCCCUGAUAAGGGUGAGGUCCCUGGUUCAAGUCCAGGAUGGCCCAUAUCUCUAUGUUGGGGGUAUAGCUCAGUUGGUAGAGCGCCUGCUUUGCAAGCAGGAUGUCAGCGGUUCGAGUCCGCUUACCUCCACUGAUUACCACCUCUUCCAUAAAUUUAUAGAAGGGAAAUUUUUUGAGUUGUGAUCAAAUUCCGAACGAAUCUAGCUUCCUGAUAAUUUUAUUAAGAUGCUGGACUCAUUGAAUUAUUUUCAUUGUUUUCAGAGAACCUUGACAACUGCAUAGAUUAUUUUUAAAGACAAUAAGCAUCUUUAAUGAUGCAGAUUUAUUAUUUGUGCGAAUGCAUUAAUAACAAUUCUAUUAAGCUGAUGCUUCAAUUUUUGAAGUUAUU
This 537-nucleotide transfer RNA is filed under the name uncultured cyanobacterium. Its description in RNAcentral is "partial 16S-23S intergenic spacer". The stretch from base 207 to 279 matches the Rfam family "tRNA". The record is from RNAcentral. Lineage: Bacteria; Bacillati; Cyanobacteriota.